Long non-coding RNA from Pungitius pungitius (ninespine stickleback), 1136 nucleotides. RefSeq lists it as uncharacterized. Lineage: Eukaryota; Metazoa; Chordata; Actinopteri; Perciformes; Gasterosteidae. The record is from RefSeq and is a predicted model, not a curated record. The transcript is spliced from 3 exons.
GUUUUGUGUUGAACAGGCAAAGUAUCACCGCUCCGUAUUUUAAACUGCUAACUACACACCUAUACUUCAGGAACUAUUACUACUAUGUGGAUGUAAGCAAAGUGUUCUCAUUCCCUCUUGGAUGUGUGCAGCCAGUGAGGUACGUUUUGUUUAAGGGCUUGUUAUAUCUGCUCGACGGCACGGACAGCUAACUGGGAUAGCGAGUGGAGCUAGCGGCUGCCGGAUGGAGCAGCCAGUCAGCCAGCUUGCUAACUACACACCGGUGCUUACGUCCACAUGUACUCAACGAAGUGGAAACGCCUUUGACGAUGCCACGUGCAAAGUCAUGCCACCAUCAAUGGGAAUGGCACAUUGGACACGUGGCUUUCAACUCCAGCGAGGUGGCGGCACGGAUCUCUGCAUGUCUGACUGACAUCUCCCAGUGGAUGUCCGCCCAUCACCUGAAGAUCAACCCCGACAAGACUGAACUACUUCUCUUCCCUGGAAAAAACUCGCCCACUCAGGACCUGACUGUUAACUUUGGCGAACACCGUUAACAUCAGGAGAAUACGACCCCUUCUCACUCAGAAGGCGGCGCAGGUACAGAUUCAGGCUCUUGUCAUCUCUCGCCUCGACUACUGUAACUCUCUGCUGGCGGGUCUCCCUGCUACCGCCAUACGACCACUGCAGCUCAUCCAGAAUGCAGCAGCUCGACUGGUCUUCAACCUUCUGAAAUACUCCCACACCACACCGCUUCUCCGUUCUCUUCAUUGGUUACUAGUGGCUCCCCGCAUCCAGUUCAAAGCAUUGGUACUGACGUACCACGCUGUGAAUGGAUCGGGACCAGUCUACAUCCGGGACAUGGUUAAACCCUACAUCCCAACCCACACACUCCGAUCUGCAUCUGCCACGCUGCUUGUUCCUCCCUCACUGAGAGAAAAGCACUCGACGAGAUCGCGACUCUUUGCUGUCCUGCUCCCAGAUGGUGGAAUGAGCUCUCUGAUGACAUCAGGACCGCAGAGAGCCUCUCCAUCUUCCGUCGAAAACUCAAGACACACCUUUUUAGACUCUACCUUGACCAAAACACUAGCAAACCGUAGCACUAACAAAUGGUAGCACUUAAAUUGUACUUAUAAUGCCACUUAUCUUUAACAUGU